RNAcentral lists this ribosomal RNA (191 nucleotides) under Paenibacillus sp. LHD-117. RNAcentral describes it as "partial 16S ribosomal RNA". It matches the Rfam family "Bacterial small subunit ribosomal RNA", at positions 1 to 184 of the family's 1533-position model. Lineage: Bacteria; Bacillati; Bacillota; Bacilli; Caryophanales; Paenibacillaceae. The record is from RNAcentral.
UUUAUGGAGAGUUUGAUCCUGGCUCAGGACGAACGCUGGCGGCGUGCCUAAUACAUGCAAGUCGAGCGGACUUGAUGGAGUGCUUGCACUCCUGAUGGUUAGCGGCGGACGGGUGAGUAACACGUAGGUAACCUGCCUGUAAGACUGGGAUAACAUUCGGAAACGAAUGCUAAUACCGGAUACGCGAAUUG